AACCUGCCCCAUAGUCUGGGAUACCACUUGGAAACAGGUGCUAAUACCGGAUAAGAAAGCAGAUCGCAUGAUCAGCUUUUAAAAGGCGGCGUAAGCUGUCGCUAUGGGAUGGCCCAGCGGUGCAUUAGCUAGUUGGUAAGGUAAAGGCUUACCAAGGCGAUGAUGCAUAGCCGAGUUGAGAGACUGAUCGGCCACAUUGGGACUGAGACACGGCCCAAACUCCUACGGGAGGCAGCAGUA
Molecule: ribosomal RNA, 240 nt
Filed under: uncultured Lactobacillus sp.
Lineage: Bacteria; Bacillati; Bacillota; Bacilli; Lactobacillales; Lactobacillaceae
Description: partial 16S ribosomal RNA
Rfam family: Bacterial small subunit ribosomal RNA
Source: RNAcentral